UGGCACCAGGGAGCGGUAAGCCCUGUGACAUACAGGUGGGGGUGGGUGACAGGGUGAUGUGGAAGAACAUGGCCUGAGCUCAGGUAGGGGGAAUGAGCUUGGAAAAGGUCUGACUAGAUGAGAGCCAAGGGAUGGGCAGGAAUGGGUCAGGCAAAGGGACAGGAGUGGAGGGGAGCAGUGAGGCAGGAGGUGGAGUGUCAUAUAUUGAAGAAACUAUGUGAAGUCCCCUCUGGCAGGUAGGUGCAUGUGGUGUGAGAACAGAGGGGGUGGGCAGGGGAGUGAGCCGGAUCAGGCAAUGGUACACAAAGGACUUUAUCUUGCGAGCAAUGAGGAACCACUGAUAGUUUUUCAGAAAGUGGGAAUAGCACAUUUUUUUGUUUGGAAGAAUCCUCCCUGAAUGCCUGAUGGGGGACUCGUGGAUGGUGGAAUGUGUUGGCUGCAGCCAUAACUAGGGCUGACUAGGGGUAGAUUUGACAUUCAGGGAAGCCCAGGGCCCCUUCUGCCACCCAUGUCAUUGCCAAUCCCUGUGCAGAUCCAGAUAGUGGGAUUUCAGAGCUGUUCCUGCUUAUAAAAUACUAUACCCCACUGCCCCGCCCUCUGUUGAACAUCUAACGUGUUAUUAGAGACUGGUUCCUGGGUCAGUUCUUUCUUUCCUGGUUAAAGGCAAACAUCGCUUAGAGAGUGACCUCAGUUGGCCAUCAUGGUGUGUUGACCUAAUUGGCCAAGAAGCCUGGUCUCCCUCCCUUCCCAUUUCCCAGCCUCAGUUACCCCAUCUACUCAACAGGCCAGAGGAGUCAGAGGAAAGCCUGCAGGGACUUGCCCCUCUGGGAUUCUGCUUCGGAUCAGAAGACCCAGUAAUCUGCAUGUCUGGAACUCACCUUGUAGGUUCCUGUGCCAGGUUUGUCCAGGACCUUGCGAACGGUCAUCUGUGUCCAAGAAGUUUAGGGGACCUGAGACUUGACACCUCUCACUGCCUUGUCUGCCAGGAGGUGCUCUCUGCCUCGGUUUGCCCAGCUGUAACUAGUGUUUUGGUGCCUUGGCCAGGCCUGUGCUUGGCUUCCGGCAGGCUCCACAGUGCUACCCUUUUCCUCUUUGGUUUGGGAGCUGGAAGGCUUUUUCGCUCAUGAGGCUGCUCUGGGCUGAGUGCGCUGGGCUGGGGUUCUGGGUGGGGCCGGCAUCAGACCCUUAGGGCCCAUGUUUUUGGGUGAUUCUUGGCAGGGAUUUGACCUCUUGGGUUCUUAGCUUUCUCUUUUCAGCCCGAUGGAAGGUCCUGUGUUCUGCAGUAGAGCUAGAGCCUAGGGCUGGAUGAACUCCAAGGCCCCCUCAAGCCCGUGAUGUUCACAAUGGCCUCUCGGAAAGCAGCCCUGAGACUCCAGCCUCCAGACUCAGUCGGAUGCCCCUUGGUCCUUGUGUUAUGAUCAACUCUAAUUCAAGCUGUGUUGACACUGACUUAAGUGAUUCUUUGAACUCAUCCGGAGUCCGUCAGUUCAAAGUCAGACAUCCAUCACCCACAUGCUGUCGUACAGAAGCCAAUAGUUGGAGGAUAUAAGGCUGCUUCGUACAACUUGUUGGGUGCCUUCCCUGCUUCGUUCUGGAGCUGCAUAGGGACAGCCUUUGUCCUUUCAGCAGUGGAAAUCAUGAGGAGAGGUGACUGCCAUGGCUGGAGUCUGGCCUGGAAUCCUCCAGAAAAUGGGUCCAAUAUGCCAUGCCCUGCAUAGUGUCUUACACACUCCAGAAUGGUCGAACCUCCAGCUAGCUUCCAGAGGGAACUUCCUACAGAAUGACAUAACCAGUUCCUGCUGCCUCCAGCAACACAGCCCGUCCCAUGUAUGGACUGACAGCCAAGGACACAGUGAGUUAGUUCCCACUAGACCAUCGGCUACGGAAGUUGGGGACCACCGUGUGACCCUACAGCAGCAUGGCACUGUCCCUGCUCUCGGAAGGAGCUCUGGGAAGGUUUGCUGAGUGAACCUCUGUGAGAAGGAAUAAACUCUAGGAUGUGCUGCUGCAAAGUGACUUGAAUUUUGAUUCCCAUUCGUUGGAGCUUGCCAAGGACGCGGCUUAAAUCACCUUGUCGUAAUGGGAGAAGAGGAGGAAGAGCAAUGAUUAAAUGUGCCUGAUAAAACUCUAUUUCAUGUUUGGAAUAAAAAAAGGGAAGGUUGAGAUAAAACGGUGCUUGUUCCAGAGCUGGCUUUUCCAGUUGGGGCCACGUCUCUAAUCCUUUCUGGAGGAGCUGGGGGAGGGGAAGGUGGCACCAAACUAGGUACUGUCACGAAGGGCAGGGUUGGGGGCAAAAGGGCAGAGGUUGGAGAAGCCAUUG
Non-coding RNA from Ictidomys tridecemlineatus (thirteen-lined ground squirrel), 2320 nucleotides. NCBI's taxonomy places the organism in Eukaryota, Metazoa, Chordata, Mammalia, Rodentia, Sciuridae. The record is from RefSeq and is a predicted model, not a curated record.